Non-coding RNA from Cajanus cajan (pigeon pea), 299 nucleotides. Lineage: Eukaryota; Viridiplantae; Streptophyta; Magnoliopsida; Fabales; Fabaceae. The record is from RefSeq and is a predicted model, not a curated record.
AUCAAUCUUGGUGGUGAUGUAGGUUGUAUGAUCAGUGAAGGCCCCUGGGUUUUUGUUGGGAUACCCAAUUUUGUUAAGGCCUGGAACACACAAAAUUUAAUGGAGCUAAGUCUUAAUGGCCCUGUUGGGACAAGUUUAUGCACUUGUUGUGAAUAAUGACAUGCUCUUUGCCGGUACACAGGAUGGAUCUAUAUUGGCAUGGAAGUUUAAUGUAGUUACCAACUGCUUUGAGCCGGCUGCAUCACUUAAAGGUCAUUCUCGUGGUGUUGUUUCAUUAGUUGUUGGUGCUAAUAGACUGU